RNAcentral lists this long non-coding RNA (255 nucleotides) under Gossypium barbadense (sea-island cotton). Its description in RNAcentral is "long non-coding RNA (GBAR_LNC020262)". Lineage: Eukaryota; Viridiplantae; Streptophyta; Magnoliopsida; Malvales; Malvaceae. The record is from RNAcentral.
UGAAAUAGAAUCUAGAUUUUAUUAUUCCGAUAAUAAAAUCGGAAUGAAGCAUUCCCACUAUUAUGAAUGGUACUAAAAUAGAAUCGGUUAACUUAGGGUGGGUUUGGAUGGGCGAUUGGGUGUGGUGCGUUUAGCUUACUUUUUGUCUCACGCUACAGUGUCGCUAUAAUAUCUAAUCUCACCGCCACUACUGUUUUUACACUAACCGUAAGUAAACGCACUGCUCAUCCAAACUCACCCUUAAGCUGGAUAAAU